GACGAACGCUGGCGGCGUGCUUAACACAUGCAAGUCGAACGGAAAGGCCCUGCUUUUGUGGGGUGCUCGAGUGGCGAACGGGUGAGUAACACGUGAGUAACCUGCCCUUGACUUUGUGAUAACUUCAGGAAACUGGGGCUAAUACCGGAUAGGAGCUCCUGCUGCAUGGUGGGGGUUGGAAAGUUUCGGCGGUUGGGGAUGGACUCGCGGCUUAUCAGCUUGUUGGUGGGGUAGUGGCUUACCAAGGCUUUGACGGGUAGCCGGCCUGAGAGGGUGACCGGCCACAUUGGGACUGCGAUACGGCGCAGACUCCUACGGGAGGCAGCAGUGGGGAAUAUUGCACAAUGGGCGGAAGCCUGAUGCAGCAACGCCGCGUGCGGGAUGACGGCCUUCGGGUUGUAAACCGCUUUCGCCUGUGACGAAGCGUGAGUGACGGUAAUGGGUAAAGAAGCACCGGCUAACUACGUG
Molecule: ribosomal RNA, 468 nt
Filed under: uncultured bacterium
Lineage: Bacteria
Description: partial 16S ribosomal RNA
Rfam family: Bacterial small subunit ribosomal RNA
Source: RNAcentral